CAAUCAGCGAGACUCCGUGGGAGUAGGACCCUCCGAGCCAGGUGUGGGAUAUAAUCUCGUGGUGCGCCAUUUUUCAAGCCCGUCAGAAAAGCGCAGUAUUCGGGUGGGAGUGACCCGAUUUUCCAGGAGUCCUAACCUAAAAUAAAAUAGAACAUACUGUGCUUAAAGCAAGGGGGGAAUCAUGUAACAAUAAAACCAGUGAAGAAAAUUCUAAUGCUCAGAAAAAGUGGAAAACAGCUGGUCCUCAGGAUCCUCCAGCCUUUGCCAAGGAAAAGUGGUUUUAAUCACUGAAGAAUGAGGCUUCAACAUAUGGAAAGACUGUAAGGUGUUCCUGGACAGCAAGUGAGUGACUUGCUCACAGGCGGUAAUUCAGGGACCCAGGUUUCUUCUACCUGGUAGCUCUACUGUCCUUCAGAACCUCAGAGCCCUGUGCAUUCAGCCAGCAGGAGAAAGACCACUACUAAGGUCAUUCACUUUGGGAGAAGCCAGUCUUCAUGCCAUGAGGACGUUCAGGCAGCCCUGUGGAGAGAACCACAUGGAAAGGAUCUGAGGUCUCUCACCAGCACCAAUUUGCCAGCUAUGGGAAUGGGCCACCUUGGAAGGAGACUGUCCAGCCCAAGUGAAGGCUGCAGAUAACUGCAGCUUUGGCCAACAUUUGGCUAUAUUGCUUUGGGAAAUCUCAAGCCAGAACCAUCUGGCCAAGCUGCUCUUAAAUUCCUGAUCCACAGAAGUUUUGGAAGGCCCUCUUGUGUGAUCCAGAGAGGUUGCAACAUUUUUUG
Molecule: long non-coding RNA, 779 nt
Filed under: Homo sapiens (human)
Lineage: Eukaryota; Metazoa; Chordata; Mammalia; Primates; Hominidae
Description: HSALNT0280644
Source: RNAcentral